GUCCUCCGCAUCGGGACUUCGGUUGCGGUUGGAUCUGGCACCGCCAUGCUGUUUUGGUUCGAUCGAUGGGCUGGGGACGCCCCCUUCGCGGCUCGUUUUCCUGACCUGUUCGCCAUUGCGGUAGAUCCGCGGAUUUCUGUCGCGAUGGCCCUUAUUGACUUAGGGCAACUCGCGUUCCGGAGACCGUUAGGACCAGCGGAGAACGCUGAUUGGCAUGACUUGCUUGACUGCAUCGCGCUGCACGAGCCUGAUCUGGAUAUGGGAGAUGACCGCACCAGGUGGCGACUAGAGCCAUAUGGUCAAUUCUCCACUAAAUCUCUCUACCAGGCUAUCGCCCCCUCUCCGGGACCUGAGGCUCUUACUACCAUCUGGGAGAUCCGGCUCCCCUUGAAGAUUAGGAUUUUCUUGUGGCAAUGGAUCCGCGGCCGCCUUCCGUCCGGUGUGGAGGUCCUGAAGCGCAACGGCCCUGGUGAUGGGUGUUGCCCGCUCUGCGGGCCUGAAGAGGAUUCGAACCAUAUCUUCUUCACCUGCGUGUCCGCGCAGUUCCUCUGGAGCUGUUUCCGCGAAAUUGUGGGUGGAAGCUGGGAUCACAACAACUUCCCCGCUCUCUUCGCCGGACUCCGGGCGUUACCGCCCUCGUCUCGCCACAUUAGGUGGUUGACCAUCAGUGUGCUAGCCUGGAUGCUGUGGACCGUUAGCAAUAGGCUUGUAAUUCAGCGUAUCCCUCUUCGUCGCGCUACUGAUGCUCUGUUCAAAUAG
Molecule: ribosomal RNA, 759 nt
Filed under: Triticum aestivum (bread wheat)
Lineage: Eukaryota; Viridiplantae; Streptophyta; Magnoliopsida; Poales; Poaceae
Description: partial small subunit ribosomal RNA
Source: RNAcentral